This 252-nucleotide ribosomal RNA is filed under the name uncultured bacterium. RNAcentral describes it as "partial 16S ribosomal RNA". It matches the Rfam family "Bacterial small subunit ribosomal RNA", at positions 338 to 607 of the family's 1533-position model. The record is from RNAcentral.
CCUACGGGAGGCAGCAGUGGGGAAUAUUGCACAAUGGGGGAAACCCUUAUGAAGAGACGCCGCGUGAGCGAUGAAGUAUUUCGGUAUGUAAAGCUCUAUCAGCAGGGAAGAAAAUGACGGUACCUGACUAAGAAGCCCCGGCUAACUACGUGCCAGCAGCCGCGGUAAUACGUAGGGGGCAAGCGUUAUCCGGAUUUACUGGGUGGAAAGGGAGCGUAGAAGGUCCUGCAAGCUAGAUGUGAAAGGCCGGGG